Non-coding RNA from Podarcis lilfordi (Lilford's wall lizard), 1126 nucleotides. The record is from the annotation of a GenBank genome assembly. Lineage: Eukaryota; Metazoa; Chordata; Lepidosauria; Squamata; Lacertidae.
CAGCAGGAGGCCCCAUUGGCUAAAGUGGUACCUCAGGUUAAGAACAGUUUCAGGUUAAGAACAGAUCUCCGGAACAAAUUAAGUCCAUAACCAGAGGUAUGACUGUAUUAGAUCCAACUUCCCUUCUUUAGACAAAAGGAACCACGAACAAUUUCUUAUAUGGUAAUACAGUUGUGUCUGCAUUUGUAAAUAACUAGGAUGUUUGUGGAACACGUCAGAUUUUUUAAAACACGUUUUUCCGCAGGUUAAGUAGUCGAGGGCUGAUUUCUUGGCCUAUGAUAAAAAGUCUUCUGUUUCCACUGCCAAACCUUUCAGGGGGGAAUUUGCAACAGUUAGGCACCAUUUUUGAGUGAAUUGGAUAACGUCAGAUUUUUGCUGAAAUUAGGGAUUUUUUCAGAAAAAUGUUUUUCCUCUGGUUAAGUAGUCGAGGGCUGAUUUCUUGGCCUAUGAUAAAAACUCUUCUGUUUCCACCGCCAAACCUGUCAGGGGAGAAUUUGCAACCAUUUGGCACCAUUUUUGAGUGAAUUGGAUAACGUCAGAUUUUUGCUGAAAUUCUGACCCUGCAAGGUGAGGGAUUUUUUCAGAAAAAUGUUUUCCGCAGGUUAAGUAGUUGAGGACUGACUUCUUGGCCUAUGAUAAAAGCUCUUCUGUUUCCACUGCCAAACCUUUCAGGGGAGAAUUUGCAACCGUUUAUAACCAUUUUUGAGUGAAUUGGAUAACAUCAGAUUUUUGGUGAAAUUCUGACCUAGUGGGUUAGGGAUUUUCUUGCAAAAAAUGUGGGUUAAGAAACUGAGGGAUGAUUUUUUUUGUCUAUGAUAAAAUAUUCUGUUUGUCCUGCCAAACCUUGCAGGGGAGAAUUUGCUACAGUUUGGCACAAUUUUUUAAUGAAUUGGACAACAUAAGAUUUUUGGUUAAAUUGUGACCUCAACGGGUUUCGGAUUUUUUUGAAAAAACAUUUUUUCGCAUUUUAAGUCACUGAGGGCUGAUUUUUUGGGUACAUGGUAAAAUAUUCUGUAUGCACCGCCGAGCCUUGCAAGGGAGAAUUUGCUAGAGUUUGGUACCAUUUUUGAAUGAAUUGGAUAACGUCAGAUUUUUCAUGAAUUUGUGACCCCGUGGGUUAGGGAUC